UAAUAUGAAGGAAAAUUCCAUUUUAAUUUCGACUUAAAAAUUUGAUUAUUUUUAAUAAUCCAUAUUAA
This 68-nucleotide transfer RNA is filed under the name Dolichovespula flora. RNAcentral's name for it is "tRNA-Arg". Lineage: Eukaryota; Metazoa; Arthropoda; Insecta; Hymenoptera; Vespidae. The record is from RNAcentral.